CGUUCUGUAAGCCUGUGAAGGUGUGCUGUGAGGCAUGCUGGAGGUAUCAGAAGUGCGAAUGCUGACAUAAGUAACGAUAAAGCGGGUGAAAAGCCCGCUCGCCGGAAGACCAAGGGUUCCUGUCCAACGUUAAUCGGGGCAGGGUGAGUCGACCCCUAAGGCGAGGCCGAAAGGCGUAGUCGAUGGGAAACAGGUUAAUAUUCCUGUACUUGGUGUUACUGCGAAGGGGGGACGGAGAAGGCUAUGUUGGCCGGGCGACGGUUGUCCCGGUUUAAGCGUGUAGGCUGGUUUUCCAGGCAAAUCCGGAAAAUCAAGGCUGAGGCGUGAUGACGAGGCACUACGGUGCUGAAGCAACAAAUGCCCUGCUUCCAGGAAAAGCCUCUAAGCAUCAGGUAACAUCAAAUCGUACCCCAAACCGACACAGGUGGUCAGGUAGAGAAUACCAAGGCGCUUGAGAGAACUCGGGUGAAGGAACUAGGCAAAAUGGUGCCGUAACUUCGGGAGAAGGCACGCUGAUAUGUAGGUGAAGUCCCUCGCGGAUGGAGCUGAAAUCAGUCGAAGAUACCAGCUGGCUGCAACUGUUUAUUAAAAACACAGCACUGUGCAAACACGAAAGUGGACGUAUACGGUGUGACGCCUGCCCGGUGCCGGAAGGUUAAUUGAUGGGGUCAGCGCAAGCGAAGCUCUUGAUCGAAGCCCCGGUAAACGGCGGCCGUAACUAUAACGGUCCUAAGGUAGCGAAAUUCCUUGUCGGGUAAGUUCCGACCUGCACGAAUGGCGUAAUGAUGGCCAGGCUGUCUCCACCCGAGACUCAGUGAAAUUGAACUCGCUGUGAAGAUGCAGUGUACCCGCGGCAAGACGGAAAGACCCCGUGAACCUUUACUAUAGCUUGACACUGAACAUUGAGCCUUGAUGUGUAGGAUAGGUGGGAGGCUUAGAAGUGUGGACGCCAGUCUGCAUGGAGCCGACCUUGAAAUACCACCCUUUAAUGUUUGAUGUUCUAACGUUGACCCGUAAUCCGGGUUGCGGACAGUGUCUGGUGGGUAGUUUGACUGGGGCGGUCUCCUCCUAAAGAGUAACGGAGGAGCACGAAGGUUGGCUAAUCCUGGUCGGACAUCAGGAGGUUAGUGCAAUGGCAUAAGCCAGCUUGACUGCGAGCGUGACGGCGCGAGCAGGUGCGAAAGCAGGUCAUAGUGAUCCGGUGGUUCUGAAUGGAAGGGCCAUCGCUCAACGGAUAAAAGGUACUCCGGGGAUAACAGGCUGAUACCGCCCAAGAGUUCAUAUCGACGGCGGUGUUUGGCACCUCGAUGUCGGCUCAUCACAUCCUGGGGCUGAAGUAGGUCCCAAGGGUAUGGCUGUUCGCCAUUUAAAGUGGUACGCGAGCUGGGUUUAGAACGUCGUGAGACAGUUCGGUCCCUAUCUGCCGUGGGCGCUGGAGAACUGAGGGGGGCUGCUCCUAGUACGAGAGGACCGGAGUGGACGCAUCACUGGUGUUCGGGUUGUCAUGCCAAUGGCACUGCCCGGUAGCUAAAUGCGGAAGAGAUAAGUGCUGAAAGCAUCUAAGCACGAAACUUGCCCCGAGAU
This 1584-nucleotide ribosomal RNA is filed under the name Escherichia coli. RNAcentral's name for it is "partial 23S ribosomal RNA". It matches the Rfam family "Bacterial large subunit ribosomal RNA", at positions 1237 to 2805 of the family's 2925-position model. The record is from RNAcentral. Lineage: Bacteria; Pseudomonadati; Pseudomonadota; Gammaproteobacteria; Enterobacterales; Enterobacteriaceae.